AGUGAACGCUGGCGGUAGGCCUAACACAUGCAAGUCGAACGGCAGCACAGUAAGAGCUUGCUCUUACGGGUGGCGAGUGGCGGACGGGUGAGGAAUACAUCGGAAUCUACUUUUUCGUGGGGGAUAACGUAGGGAAACUUACGCUAAUACCGCAUACGACCUACGGGUGAAAGCAGGGGAUCUUCGGACCUUGCGCGAUUGAAUGAGCCGAUGUCGGAUUAGCUAGUUGGCGGGGUAAAGGCCCACCAAGGCGACGAUCCGUAGCUGGUCUGAGAGGAUGAUCAGCCACACUGGAACUGAGACACGGUCCAGACUCCUACGGGAGGCAGCAGUGGCGAAUAUUGGACAAUGGGCGCAAGCCUGAUCCAGCCAUACCGCGUGGGUGAAGAAGGCCUUCGGGUUGUAAAGCCCUUUUGUUGGGAAAGAAAAGCAGCAGGUUAAUACCCCGCUGUUCUGACGGUACCCAAAGAAUAAGCACCAGCUAACUUCGUG
RNAcentral lists this ribosomal RNA (492 nucleotides) under uncultured bacterium. RNAcentral's name for it is "partial 16S ribosomal RNA". It matches the Rfam family "Bacterial small subunit ribosomal RNA", at positions 29 to 507 of the family's 1533-position model. The record is from RNAcentral.